RNAcentral lists this ribosomal RNA (468 nucleotides) under uncultured bacterium. Its description in RNAcentral is "partial 16S ribosomal RNA". It matches the Rfam family "Bacterial small subunit ribosomal RNA", at positions 28 to 507 of the family's 1533-position model. The record is from RNAcentral.
GACGAACGCUGGCGGCGUGCUUAACACAUGCAAGUCGAACGGAAAGGCCCUGCUUUUGUGGGGUGCUCGAGUGGCGAACGGGUGAGUAACACGUGAGUAACCUGCCCUUGACUUUGGGAUAACUUCAGGAAACUGGGGCUAAUACCGGAUAGGAGCUCCUGCUGCAUGGUGGGGGUUGGAAAGUUUCGGCGGUUGGGGAUGGACUCGCGGCUUAUCAGCUUGUUGGUGGGGUAGUGGCUUACCAAGGCUUUGACGGGUAGCCGGCCUGAGAGGGUGACCGGCCACAUUGGGACUGAGAUCGGGCCCAGACUCCUCCGGGAGGCAGCAGUGGGGAAUAUUGCACAAUGGGCGGAAGCCUGAUGCAGAAACGCCGCGUCCGGGAUGACGGCCUUCGGGUUGUAACCCGCUUUCGCCUGUGACGAAGCGUGAGUGACGGUAAUGGGUAAAGAAGCACCGGCUAACUACGUG